This 253-nucleotide ribosomal RNA is filed under the name uncultured bacterium. RNAcentral's name for it is "partial 16S ribosomal RNA". It matches the Rfam family "Bacterial small subunit ribosomal RNA", at positions 524 to 776 of the family's 1533-position model. The record is from RNAcentral.
UACAGAGGGGGCAAGCGUUGUUCGGAAUUACUGGGCGUAAAGGGCGCGUAGGCGGCCUUCUAAGUCGAACGUGAAAUCCCCGGGCUCAACCCGGGAACUGCGUCCGAUACUGGAAGGCUUGAAUCCGGGAGAGGGAUGCGGAAUUCCAGGUGUAGCGGUGAAAUGCGUAGAUAUCUGGAGGAACACCGGUGGCGAAGGCGGAUCUCUGGGCCUUACCUGACGCUGAGGAGCGAAAGCAUGGGGAGCAAACAGG